AGCUCUCCCAACCGCGACGGCCGCGAUACAGCAGGAUAGAGCAGCGGGUGGCAAAGCGACCCGGAGCGCUGCGAGUAAGGAUGGUCGGCGCGGCGCUCUCUCCUGCUGCAGCUCCGCCGCCCGCUGCCUCGCACCAGACCGUGUAAUGGCCGCCGCUCCUGACGUCACCGCCUCGGCUUCCACUACGGGGAGGAGAAGGGAGGCUCUACAUGAGGCGACGGCGCUUGCGCGGGCUUCGGGCGGUGUGACGCCUGCGCGCCGGCCGGGGCGAGGAAGACCGACCUGACCGGCGAGCAGAGGCGAGACGCGCCUGCGCCGCACAGAGCGGCACGAAGCGGCCGGGGCGGACAAGGUGGCGGCGCCUGCGCCCUGCGGAUACUUACUCUUCAGUUAGUACUACAUGGCAGUUGCUGUCUUAAUGACCUUCAUCUGGGCCAAGCAACUGGAGAGUUAAGCUAUGAAAAGACUGAAGCAAGAAAAAGUGAACUAUUCUUUGUGUUCCUGUGAGGUGGUUCAUCCUCAGGUCACACCCAGAGAAUGCCAGCACUCGAGGACACUGCCUGGCCUCCUGAAUCGUGCCGCAGUUCUGGCUCGCCGAGUGGCUGCUCAUCUCCCCAUGUGCCCACCAUCAGUCAGGGCUGACAGCAGAGCACCAAGUCACUGCAGAACACCUGUCCAUGUUCUGCCCGGGUUUUUGUUUGGAACUUCCCUGCUCUCAGCAGACUUUCCUUUGCAGCUUUUCCCUAAUCUCUCCUAAUUCUGCAGAUUCCUGGUAUGCUACCUCUGUGUGCUCAUCCCUGUGGCAUGUCAUUAAUUCACAGAAGAGUCAGUUAAUUCAGACAUGGACACUGGGAAAACAUCAGUAAACCACUGCUCCAGGAGCAGAGCUGUGCAAUUACUUUCUCCUUUCUUUUUAAUUUAGAUACAGAACAGGCCAAAGUCAUUGCAGGGGAUUCUGCUUGUAGAUUCAAGGCUGCCUUUUCAUGUCCUGGGUGAAGCCCUGUACCACUCUCACUCCUCCCUUCUCAGGCUCCUGUCUUGGAGAUCACAGAAUCAGAGAAUCACAGAAUGUUAGGAGUUGGAAGGGACACCUGGUCCAACCCACCUGCCAAAGCAGAAUCACAGGAACACAUCCAGAUGCAUCUUGAAAGUCUCAAGAGGAGAGUCCACAAUCUCUCUGGGCAGCCUGUUCCAGGGCUGCAGCACCCUCACCAAAAAGAAGUGUCUCCUCAUGUUGAGGUGGAACCUCCUGUGUUUGUCCCCACUCUUCCUUGUCCUAUCACUGGGCACCACCAUACACAGCCUGGCACCUUCAUCUUGACACCCACUCCUCAGAUAUUUAUAGACACCCUUUAGAAACUCUUUGGAAACAGAGCUGCAGAACACUUGUAGAUGAAACCUGUUUAGUUGUUGGGACAAGAGGCUGUAGCCCAAGCUGGAUCUGGCUUCUAAUUAUAUAGCAUCAACAUACACAAAAUGGGGCUCUGUGAAGUCUAAAUAGGUAAUUUUGCAGUGAAUAUUAAAUAUUAGGUAUUGAUCCAUUAAAAAUAUGAAAGCAACGCUUUUAAAUCCUUUGUACCUGU
Long non-coding RNA from Pogoniulus pusillus (Red-fronted tinkerbird), 1583 nucleotides. RefSeq lists it as uncharacterized. The record is from RefSeq and is a predicted model, not a curated record. The transcript has 3 exons. Lineage: Eukaryota; Metazoa; Chordata; Aves; Piciformes; Lybiidae.